AGAAGCUACUAAGAGCUUACGGUGAAUGCCUUGGCGUCAAAUGCCGAUGAAGGACGUGGGACACUGCGAUAAGCCUCGGGGAGCUGUGAACAAGCGAUAUAUCCGGGGAUGUCCGAAUAGGGAAACCUGCUGGUGCGAACCACCAGCAUCAUACGUUGAAUAUAUAGACGUAUAGAAGGGAACCAUGGGAACUGAAACAUCUAAGUACCAUGAGGAAAAGAGAUUAUUCUCCAAGUAGUGGCGAGCGAACGGGGAACAGCCUAAACCGAUCCAGUUUACUGGACCGGGGUUGUAGGAUCCGGCGACUAAGAGUGACAAAUUGAGACGAUAGCAGAAUUGGUAUGGAAAAGCCAACCAUAGAAGGUGAUAGUCCUGUACGCGAAAUCGUCGAAACUCUCGCUGGACACCUGAGUACAACCGGGCACGCUAAUCCGGUUGGAAUCUGGGGAGUCCACUCUCCAAGGCUAAAUACGUUUGACGACCGAUAGUGAACAAGUACCGUGAGGGAAAGGUGAAAAGUACCCCUGUUAGGGGAGUGAAAAGAACCUGAAACCGUAAGCUUACAAACAGUCGAAGGGCUAAUGGCGUGUUCGUGCUAUAGCGAAAGCUUGUGCGCAGCGCUAUGCCUGACGGCGUGCCUUUUGGAGAAUGAGUCUGCGAGUUAAUCUUUGUGGCAAGGUUAAGGAAGUUACAUCCGAAGCCGCAGCGAAAGCGAGUCUGAAUAGGGCGUGCAGUCGCAAGGAUUAGACACGAAACCAGGUGAGCUAACCAUGGCCAGGUUGAAGCGAGUAUAACAGCUCGUGGAGGACCGAACCUACUAAUAUUGCAAAAUUAGGGGAUGAGCUGUGGUUAGGGGUGAUAUGCCAAACGAACUUGGAGAUAGCUUGUUCUCCCCGAAAUAGCUUUAGGGCUAGCGUUAAGCGUUUAGUAACGGAGGUAGAGCACUGAAUGGGCUAGGGGGCUUAUAGCUUACCAAACCUAAUCAAACUCCGAAUGCCGUUACUCCAAGCUUAGCAGUCGGACUCCGGGAGAUGAGUUUCGGGGUCGAGAGGGAAACAGCCCAGAUCAACAGCUAAGGUCCCCAAAUUUGUACUAAGUGGGAAACGAUGUGAAGUUACUGAAACAACCAGGAGGUUUGCCUAGAAGCAGCCACCCUUUAAAAAGUGCGUAACAGCUUACUGGUCGAGUGAUUUUGCGCGGAAAAUUCAACGGGGCUAAGUACAAUACCGAAGCUUUGAACUCUCGCUUUAGCGAGAUUGGUAGGGGAGCGUUCUGCCAGCGAUGAAGGUCGACCGAAAGGACGGCUGGAGUGGGCAGAAGUGAGAAUGCAGACAUAAGUAGCGUAAAACACGUGAGAACCGUGUUCGCCGUAUAUCUAAGGUUUCCGACGCCAGGUCAAUCCGCGUCGGGUUAGUCAGGACCUUAGCCGAGGCCGAGAGGCGUAGGCGAUGGACAGCCGGUCAACAUUCCGGCACCACUUAAGUAGAGUGAUGGAGGGACGCAACGAGGUAGGCCAGCCCAUGAUUGGUUGUGUGGGUGUAUGGUAUGUCAGCCUGUGAGAUCUAUAGGAAAAUCCGUAGGUUGAGGUGAGAUACUGUAGCGAGCCUAUAAGGCAUAAGUGAGUUGAGCCUUGUUGCCAAGAAAAGCUUCUAAACGAUGAAACUUGAGUGCCUGUACCGCAAACCGACUCUGGUAGAUGGGUAGAAUAUACCAAGGCGAACGGGAGAACCCUUGUUAAGGAACUAGGCAAUUUAGCCACGUAACUUCGGGAUAAGUGGUGCCCUUCGACGUGAAUGAAUAAUGAGCGUUGGGGGGUCGCAGUGAAAUGGUUCUAGGGACUGGUUACCAAAACCACAGGUCUCUGCAAAGUCGUAAGACGAUGUAUAGGGGCUGACACCUGCCCAGUGCCGGAAGGUUAAAGGGAGGGGUUAGGCGCAAGCCGAAGCUCUGAACUGAAGCCCCGGUGAACGGCGGCCGUAACUAUAACGGUCCUAAGGUAGCGAAAUUCCUUGUCGGGUAAGUUCCGACCCGCACGAAUGGCGUAAUGACUUGGGCACUGUCUCAACAAGGGACUCGGUGAAAUUGUAGUACCGGUGAAG
This 2099-nucleotide ribosomal RNA is filed under the name Anaerolineaceae bacterium UBA5224. RNAcentral describes it as "bacterial LSU rRNA". It matches the Rfam family "Bacterial large subunit ribosomal RNA", at positions 1 to 2058 of the family's 2925-position model. Lineage: Bacteria; Bacillati; Chloroflexota; Anaerolineae; Anaerolineales; Anaerolineaceae. The record is from RNAcentral.